UAGGGAAUAUUGGACAAUGGGGGCAACCCUGAUCCAGCCAUGCCGCGUGAGUGAAGAAGGCCCUCGGGUUGUAAAGCUCUUUUGUCCGGAAAGAAAAGCUUCGGGUUAAUACCCCGGGGUUCUGACGGUACCGGAAGAAUAAGCACCGGCUAACUUCGUGCCAGCAGCCGCGGUAAUACGAAGGGUGCAAGCGUUACUCGGAAUUACUGGGCGUAAAGCGUGCGUAGGUGGUUGUUUAAGUCUGAUGUGAAAGCCCUGGGCUCAACCUGGGAAUGGCAUUGGAAACUGGGCUGCUAGAGUGCGGUAGAGGGUAGUGGAAUUCCCGGUGUAGCAGUGAAAUGCGUAGAGAUCGGGAGGAACAUCUGUGGCGAAGGCGACUGCCUGGACCAGCACUGACACUGAGGCACGAAAGCGUGGGGAGCAAACA
This 427-nucleotide ribosomal RNA is filed under the name uncultured bacterium. RNAcentral describes it as "bacterial SSU rRNA". It matches the Rfam family "Bacterial small subunit ribosomal RNA", at positions 355 to 774 of the family's 1533-position model. The record is from RNAcentral.